This is a long non-coding RNA of Oxyura jamaicensis (ruddy duck), 1054 nucleotides long. RefSeq lists it as uncharacterized. Lineage: Eukaryota; Metazoa; Chordata; Aves; Anseriformes; Anatidae. The record is from RefSeq and is a predicted model, not a curated record. The transcript is spliced from 2 exons.
AAGCUUGAGAAGUUGGCUCAUGUUAACCUAAAGAGGUUCAACAAGUCUGACUGCAAGGUGCUGCACCUGGAUCAGGGUAAUCCCAGACAGGAGCAUAGACUGGGUGAAAAACAAAUUGAGAGCAGCCCUGCAGAGAAGGACUUGGAGGUUCUGGUAUAGGAGAAGCAGACUACUAUGAUGCUCCUGGUAGUGCCUGUCAGUCAGGGAUUUCCACCCCUGGACAUGGCCAUUUCAUCCUGGGAGUCAGUGCUGGAGUCAGGCCCAUCUCCUCACACCUGUCUAUAAAGGCCUGCCAGCAUUGUCUCAGAAAUGCAUUGCAGAGGGGACAGAUUCCCAUCCAGCCCAUGUUAGGCUGGUUCUCGUGAAGGCAAAGGGGCAGCUCCAGAUGAAACAUUUCUACAGCAAAGGGGUAUGCUCAGCUUAGUGGGUGUCUCAUCCAAGCUAAGCUGCCUUGCGCAAACACAGAAGCAGAUCCCAGCCACAGUUUUAUCCAUUUGCCAAUGAGACAUGCCCAAAACUUCACCCAAGGCUUAUAUAGUGCUAACAGUCUCCUGGGGCAUUCAAGGUAGGCAAUAAAGAGUAGGGCAAUUAAGAAACCAAUGUCUCCAGGAACUACUAGUCCUGUGUUGAGUUGCAACACAGGCCAAGCCCUUCCAGGGUAAUGGGCCAUCCCAACAAACCAGAAAUGUUUGUCAGAGCUCUGCCUGGGUCUCUUUCCUGUGGUCUACCCCACACCUUAGCCCUGGCAGUGCCAUACCUUCACCUGGGCUAAACUGGUUACAUUCUCUUGCAGCUGUGGCUGAUUCCAUUCCUCUGACACCAGGAAAGACAAAGGGUUUGCCCCAGCACAGCUUUGGCUCGCCUCUCUUGCCUGCAUGGUUGAUUCCUUCUGAACAUGACAAGGCUGUACCAAGCAGGGCCACACGUGGAUCCGUAAGGAAACAGCUCUGGAAUCAAGCAGGGACAGGGUGCCCUGCUGAUGUGAGCUGUUACAGAGGUAACCAGGCUCUAAUGAGAAACUGCAGACAUCAGGGGGCUGCAAAGCACUGACAGG